UACGUAGGUGACAAGCGUUGUCCGGAUUUACUGGGCGUAAAGAGCGCGCAGGCGGUCGAUCAAGUCGAGUGUGAAAGCCCCCGGCUCAACUGGGGAGGGUCAUUCGAUACUGAUCGACUCGAAGGCAGGAGAGGGUAGUGGAAUUCCCGGUGUAGUGGUGAAAUGCGUAGAUAUCGGGAGGAACACCGGUGGCGAAGGCGGAUCUCUGGGCCUUACCUGACGCUCAGGCGCGAAAGCUAGGGGAGCGAACAGG
RNAcentral lists this ribosomal RNA (253 nucleotides) under uncultured bacterium. Its description in RNAcentral is "partial 16S ribosomal RNA". It matches the Rfam family "Bacterial small subunit ribosomal RNA", at positions 524 to 776 of the family's 1533-position model. The record is from RNAcentral.